GGGUAGAGCACUGUUUCGGCUAGGGGGCCAUCCCGGCUUACCAACCCGAUGCAAACUGCGAAUACCGGAGAAUGUUAUCACGGGAGACACACGGCGGGUGCUAACGUCCGUCGUGAAGAGGGAAACAACCCAGACCGCCAGCUAAGGUCCCAAAGUCAUGGUUAAGUGGGAAACGAUGUGGGAAGGCCCAGACAGCCAGGAUGUUGGCUUAGAAGCAGCCAUCAUUUAAAGAAAGCGUAAUAGCUCACUGGUCGAGUCGGCCUGCGCGGAAGAUGUAACGGGGCUAAACCAUGCACCGAAGCUGCGGCAGCGACGCUCAGGCGUUGUUGGGUAGGGGAGCGUUCUGUAAGCCUGUGAAGGUGGCCUGUGAGGGUUGCUGGAGGUAUCAGAAGUGCGAAUGCUGACAUAAGUAACGAUAAAGCGGGUGAAAAGCCCGCUCGCCGGAAGACCAAGGGUUCCUGUCCAACGUUAAUCGGGGCAGGGUGAGUCGACCCCUAAGGCGAGGCCGAAAGGCGUAGUCGAUGGGAAACGGGUUAAUAUUCCCGUACUUGGUGUUACUGCGAAGGGGGGACGGAGAAGGCUAUGUUGGCCGGGCGACGGUUGUCCCGGUUUAAGCGUGUAGGUGUGUGUUCCAGGUAAAUCCGGUUCACUUUAACACUGAGGCGUGACGACGAGGCACUACGGUGCUGAAGCAACAAAUGCCCUGCUUCCAGGAAAAGCCUCUAAGCAUCAGGUAACAUCAAAUCGUACCCCAAACCGACACAGGUGGUCAGGUAGAGAAUACCAAGGCGCUUGAGAGAACUCGGGUGAAGGAACUAGGCAAAAUGGUGCCGUAACUUCGGGAGAAGGCACGCUGACACGUAGGUGAAGUGAUUUACUCAUGGAGCUGAAGUCAGUCGAAGAUACCAGCUGGCUGCAACUGUUUAUUAAAAACACAGCACUGUGCAAACACGAAAGUGGACGUAUACGGUGUGACGCCUGCCCGGUGCCGGAAGGUUAAUUGAUGGGGUC
Molecule: ribosomal RNA, 1011 nt
Filed under: Salmonella enterica subsp. enterica serovar Oslo
Lineage: Bacteria; Pseudomonadati; Pseudomonadota; Gammaproteobacteria; Enterobacterales; Enterobacteriaceae
Description: partial 23S ribosomal RNA
Rfam family: Bacterial large subunit ribosomal RNA
Source: RNAcentral